RNAcentral lists this ribosomal RNA (253 nucleotides) under uncultured bacterium. RNAcentral's name for it is "partial 16S ribosomal RNA". It matches the Rfam family "Bacterial small subunit ribosomal RNA", at positions 524 to 776 of the family's 1533-position model. The record is from RNAcentral.
UACGUAGGGGGCAAGCGUUGUCCGGAUUUAUUGGGCGUAAAGAGCGUGUAGGCGGCUGGGUAGGUCCGUUGUGAAAACUCGAGGCUCAACCUCGAGACGCCGAUGGAAACCCUCCAGCUAGAGUCCGGAAGAGGAGAGUGGAAUUCCUGGUGUAGCGGUGAAAUGCGCAGAUAUCAGGAAGAACACCCGUGGCUAAGGCGGCUCUCUAGUACGGUACUGACGCUGAGACGCGAAAGCGUGGGGAGUGAACAGG